This 203-nucleotide ribosomal RNA is filed under the name uncultured bacterium. RNAcentral's name for it is "partial 16S ribosomal RNA". It matches the Rfam family "Bacterial small subunit ribosomal RNA", at positions 573 to 774 of the family's 1533-position model. The record is from RNAcentral.
AGGCGGCCACGCAAGUCGGAUGUGAAAGCCCUGGGCUCAACCCAGGAAGUGCACCCGAUACUGCGACGGCUUGAGUACCGGAGAGGUUGGUGGAAUUCUCGGUGUAGAGGUGAAAUUCGUAGAUAUCGAGAGGAACACCGGUGGCGAAGGCGGCCAACUGGACGAGUACUGACGCUGAGACACGAAAGCGUGGGGAGCAAACA